AUGACACAGGGUCCCCACAGCCAGCUUCUCUGCUUUAGAAGUUUUCUUACACCUAUGCCUUCCUUUCCACCCCAUGUCCUGCCUGACUGCAUCAUAGCCCACUGGGAUGAUGCUGACAGCCUCUUCAUGGACCUGCUGGGACAAAAUUUCUUUCUCAAACCGGGCAUGGUGGCGCACGCCUGUAAUCCUGGUACUUGGGAAGCUGAGGCAGGAGGAUCGUCGUGAGUUUGAAGCCAGCCUGGGCUACAUAGUGAGUUCAGGGCCAGCCUGAACUACAAAGGGAGAUCCUGCCUCAGAAAACAAAACAAUUUUUUUUCUCAUAAAUUUAUUCUCACAACUGCUACAACCAGCUUUCUAAAAUACAUACUUGACUAUGUUCUGU
Molecule: long non-coding RNA, 382 nt
Filed under: Fukomys damarensis (Damara mole-rat)
Lineage: Eukaryota; Metazoa; Chordata; Mammalia; Rodentia; Bathyergidae
Description: lncRNA (ENSFDAG00000030266.1)
Source: RNAcentral